Molecule: long non-coding RNA, 614 nt
Organism: Lathyrus oleraceus (garden pea)
Lineage: Eukaryota; Viridiplantae; Streptophyta; Magnoliopsida; Fabales; Fabaceae
Exons: 2
Source: RefSeq, a predicted model, not a curated record
CGCAACCCAUCCAAAACCCUUUCCGCCGUCAAAAAACGCGAAGCCCUUCAUCUUCUUCAAACUCAACCGUCAAAACCCCACCACCAGCAAAUAAACCUAUCGCGCGUCACCACCAACAUCUCAAAGACCGACCACACCACUACCGCCGCUCACCUUCCUCAACAACCUUCACUCCGCCGCUGAAACCCACAAAACAACCUUCAUUGUUCCUCGCCGGUUUUAUCCUCUUUUGUUAACCUCGCAUCCGAGAUACCGCCAUUGUGUCGGUAACUUCGACUCAACAGAAGCUGAAGUUUCUGAUUUACUUACUGAUAUUUGGCUUCGAGUUUACUGCAGAAUUCUUCCAAACAACAAAUCAAAGUCCGCAUUUCUAUAAUUUCCAAGCCGUGUCCAAGGUCGGUUCUCACCAUUUCCGACGAUAGCAAAGGUUGACGCAGAUCUCGCCUUCGCCAUUCUCUAUCCGCAUUAAUCCUGGGAAUGUUAGCAUUAAUCCUGUUUCAAGGCGGAUUCGGUUUCCAUGGCAGCAUACUCCGGUAUUGUUUGGCCGAAGGAUACUUCUAGGAAUAUCUUAGUUUCUUCAUAGAAGUUGAAAAAAUCAAAGAAUUAUUAUUUUU